RNAcentral lists this ribosomal RNA (497 nucleotides) under uncultured bacterium. RNAcentral's name for it is "partial 16S ribosomal RNA". It matches the Rfam family "Bacterial small subunit ribosomal RNA", at positions 28 to 507 of the family's 1533-position model. The record is from RNAcentral.
GAUGAACGCUGGCGGCGUGCCUAAUACAUGCAAGUCGAGCGAACGGACGAGAAGCUUGCUUCUCUGAUGUUAGCGGCGGACGGGUGAGUAACACGUGGAUAACCUACCUAUAAGACUGGGAUAACUUCGGGAAACCGGAGCUAAUACCGGAUAAUAUUUUGAACCGCAUGGUUCAAAAGUGAAAGACGGUCUUGCUGUCACUUAUAGAUGGAUCCGCGCUGCAUUAGCUAGUUGGUAAGGUAACGGCUUACCAAGGCAACGAUGCAUAGCCGACCUGAGAGGGUGGUCGGCCGCACUGGAACGGGAACACGGUCCAGACUCCUACGGGAGGCAGCAGUAGGGAAUCUUCCGCAAUGGACGAAAGCCUGACGGAGCAACGCCGCGUGAGUGAUGAAGGUCUUCGGAUCGUAAAACUCUGUUAUUAGGGAAGAACAUAUGUGUAAGUAACUGUGCACAUCUUGACGGUACCUAAUCAGAAAGCCACGGCUAACUACGUG